Molecule: ribosomal RNA, 1463 nt
Filed under: Salmonella enterica subsp. enterica serovar Enteritidis
Lineage: Bacteria; Pseudomonadati; Pseudomonadota; Gammaproteobacteria; Enterobacterales; Enterobacteriaceae
Description: bacterial SSU rRNA
Rfam family: Bacterial small subunit ribosomal RNA
Source: RNAcentral
CUUUGCUGACGAGUGGCGGACGGGUGAGUAAUGUCUGGGAAACUGCCUGAUGGAGGGGGAUAACUACUGGAAACGGUGGCUAAUACCGCAUAACGUCGCAAGACCAAAGAGGGGGACCUUCGGGCCUCUUGCCAUCAGAUGUGCCCAGAUGGGAUUAGCUUGUUGGUGAGGUAACGGCUCACCAAGGCGACGAUCCCUAGCUGGUCUGAGAGGAUGACCAGCCACACUGGAACUGAGACACGGUCCAGACUCCUACGGGAGGCAGCAGUGGGGAAUAUUGCACAAUGGGCGCAAGCCUGAUGCAGCCAUGCCGCGUGUAUGAAGAAGGCCUUCGGGUUGUAAAGUACUUUCAGCGGGGAGGAAGGUGUUGUGGUUAAUAACCGCAGCAAUUGACGUUACCCGCAGAAGAAGCACCGGCUAACUCCGUGCCAGCAGCCGCGGUAAUACGGAGGGUGCAAGCGUUAAUCGGAAUUACUGGGCGUAAAGCGCACGCAGGCGGUCUGUCAAGUCGGAUGUGAAAUCCCCGGGCUCAACCUGGGAACUGCAUUCGAAACUGGCAGGCUUGAGUCUUGUAGAGGGGGGUAGAAUUCCAGGUGUAGCGGUGAAAUGCGUAGAGAUCUGGAGGAAUACCGGUGGCGAAGGCGGCCCCCUGGACAAAGACUGACGCUCAGGUGCGAAAGCGUGGGGAGCAAACAGGAUUAGAUACCCUGGUAGUCCACGCCGUAAACGAUGUCUACUUGGAGGUUGUGCCCUUGAGGCGUGGCUUCCGGAGCUAACGCGUUAAGUAGACCGCCUGGGGAGUACGGCCGCAAGGUUAAAACUCAAAUGAAUUGACGGGGGCCCGCACAAGCGGUGGAGCAUGUGGUUUAAUUCGAUGCAACGCGAAGAACCUUACCUGGUCUUGACAUCCACAGAAGAAUCCAGAGAUGGAUUUGUGCCUUCGGGAACUGUGAGACAGGUGCUGCAUGGCUGUCGUCAGCUCGUGUUGUGAAAUGUUGGGUUAAGUCCCGCAACGAGCGCAACCCUUAUCCUUUGUUGCCAGCGGUUAGGCCGGGAACUCAAAGGAGACUGCCAGUGAUAAACUGGAGGAAGGUGGGGAUGACGUCAAGUCAUCAUGGCCCUUACGACCAGGGCUACACACGUGCUACAAUGGCGCAUACAAAGAGAAGCGACCUCGCGAGAGCAAGCGGACCUCAUAAAGUGCGUCGUAGUCCGGAUUGGAGUCUGCAACUCGACUCCAUGAAGUCGGAAUCGCUAGUAAUCGUGGAUCAGAAUGCCACGGUGAAUACGUUCCCGGGCCUUGUACACACCGCCCGUCACACCAUGGGAGUGGGUUGCAAAAGAAGUAGGUAGCUUAACCUUCGGGAGGGCGCUUACCACUUUGUGAUUCAUGACUGGGGUGAAGUCGUAACAAGGUAACCGUAGGGGAACCUGCGGUUGGAUCACCUCCUUACCUUAAAGAA